This 255-nucleotide long non-coding RNA is filed under the name Panax ginseng (ginseng). RNAcentral's name for it is "long non-coding RNA (PGIN_LNC016165)". Lineage: Eukaryota; Viridiplantae; Streptophyta; Magnoliopsida; Apiales; Araliaceae. The record is from RNAcentral.
ACAUUUUGGUUUCUUCCAUAAUUUCUUGUCUAAUUUUUGAUGCUUUUAUCUAUGAUGAACACUGGACAUGAUUUGCUGGAGUAACAAACUGAUACAAGGGAAAUGCAGAGACACUUGGAUAGAAGACUGAAGCUUUAUUAGUGUUAUUGAUGCAAAACUAUGGUAUUUCUUAAAUUUAAGAUAUGGUAGGCCUAGGCUAUACAAAUUUUCUUCUUUUUACGGUUAUAAUUAGGGCCAUUGUAAGCUAUGAUGCGC